CCUACGGGUGGCAGCAGUGAGGAAUAUUGGUCAAUGGACGAGAGUCUGAACCAGCCAAGUAGCGUGAAGGAUGACUGCCCUAUGGGUUGUAAACUUCUUUUAUAUGGGAGUAAACUGUUCCACGUGUGGGAUUUUGUAUGUACCAUAUGAAUAAGGAUCGGCUAACUCCGUGCCAGCAGCCGCGGUAAUACGGAGGAUCCGAGCGUUAUCCGGAUUUAUUGGGUUUAAAGGGAGCGUAGGUGGAUUGUUAAGUCAGUUGUGAAAGUUUGCGGCUCAACCGUAAAAUUGCAGUUGAAACUGGCAGUCUUGAGUACAGUAGAGGUGGGCGGAAUUCGUGGUGUAGCGGUGAAAUGCUUAGAUAUCACGAAGAACUCUGAUUGCGAAGGCAGUUCACUGGACUGCAACUGACACUGAGGCUCGAAAGUGUGGGUAUCAAACAGGAUUAGAUACCCGGGUAGUC
RNAcentral lists this ribosomal RNA (460 nucleotides) under uncultured bacterium. Its description in RNAcentral is "partial 16S ribosomal RNA". It matches the Rfam family "Bacterial small subunit ribosomal RNA", at positions 338 to 795 of the family's 1533-position model. The record is from RNAcentral.